AUGGAACUUAAUCUCAACAGUCACCUGAGUUGAAGAUAGAGUUUGAGGAGUCAUCCCAAUAUGGAUAGCAUUUGUUGUAAAUUAGAAGGUGGUAAAAACUUGCCUUUGGAAAAAAGUUUAAAAAUUGCAGUGAGACUUAUGAAUACUCUUCAACUUCACCUGUUGGAAUAAAGGUCUUUCUUGUAAUCAGGAGAUCCUGUUGACAUGUGGCAAUGAGCAGGAAGAAAAUCUUGUUAUGUAGAUAACAAUCUGUGACUGAUGGAGCUGCCUGAGUGAGGGAAAGCAGGGAUGUUGACGCAUCAGUAAACACCGAAUGCCUCUGGAAACAAUAUAAAACAGAAAGAGUCAGAGAGGAUCAGAAAUAAAUGAAAUCUCUCACAACUAAACUGCUUAUGUGUUCAUCCUGUUGACUGAUUCUUUUCUGGAUUGUGCUCCUUGUGGGCAGGGCUGCUCUCAUGCUUUCCUUAUAGACUGGGAGAGCAACAAGGAAGCAAAGCCCCUCUCCUGAAGCACAGCCCCCAAGAGAAUCCAUUUGCACCUGACCCAAGCAUAACCAGUUCUCAGAGGAACGGGGCCCAUGCAACUUGCUGACCCUCUGCUAAUGGAUCACCAAAAGAGGCAUACAGUGCUUGUCUGGAGCAUUUUGCACAGUAACCUGUGAUGUGGGUUGCACUUAUUUUCUUUCCCAGUUUACCAUUUGUCCUUUGACUUUGUCUUUUGCCUUGAAAAAUGUUCUGAAAUGUUUGUAGCUCAUUUGAUUUCAAAAAUGAUUUAAUAAAAUGUGUUUAUAUCGACAAGUACAAA
Molecule: long non-coding RNA, 804 nt
Filed under: Equus asinus (donkey)
Lineage: Eukaryota; Metazoa; Chordata; Mammalia; Perissodactyla; Equidae
Description: lncRNA (ENSEASG00005030028.1)
Source: RNAcentral